AUUGAACGCUGGCGGCAGGCUUAACACAUGCAAGUCGAGCGGGGGAAGGUAGCUUGCUACUGGACCUAGCGGCGGACGGGUGAGUAAUGCUUAGGAAUCUGCCUAUUAGUGGGGGACGACAUCUCGAAAGGGAUGCUAAUACCGCAUACGUCCUACGGGAGAAAGCAGGGGAUCUUCGGACCUUGCGCUAAUAGAUGAGCCUAAGUCGGAUUAGCUAGUUGGUGGGGUAAAGGCCUACCAAGGCGACGAUCUGUAGCGGGUCUGAGAGGAUGAUCCGCCACACUGGGACUGAGACACGGCCCAGACUCCUACGGGAGGCAGCAGUGGGGAAUGUUGGACAAUGGGGGGAACCCUGAUCCAGCCAUGCCGCGUGUGUGAAGAAGGCCUUAUGAUUGUAAAGCACUUUAAGCGAGGAGGAGGCUACUUUAGUUAAUACCUAGAGAUAGUGGACGUUACUCGCAGAAUAAGCACCGGCUAACUCUGUGCCAGCAGCCGCCGUAA
RNAcentral lists this ribosomal RNA (501 nucleotides) under uncultured bacterium. RNAcentral describes it as "partial 16S ribosomal RNA". It matches the Rfam family "Bacterial small subunit ribosomal RNA", at positions 30 to 523 of the family's 1533-position model. The record is from RNAcentral.